Coffea arabica (coffee) is the source of this 1731-nucleotide non-coding RNA. Lineage: Eukaryota; Viridiplantae; Streptophyta; Magnoliopsida; Gentianales; Rubiaceae. The record is from RefSeq and is a predicted model, not a curated record.
AUGAACAAGGCUACGAUAAUAACUGAUGCAAUAGAUUACAUCGAGGAGCUACAGAAUACGGUGAGAGAUCUUAGUGACCAACUUUGUCAGAUGGACAUAACUCUUAAAGAGGACUUGGAAAGCCAAAAUAAAUACGUUACUGAUCCUGCAAAAGAAAUGAAGAACUGGGGAAUUGAGACAGAAGUUAAGGUUACUCGCCUUAAUGGAGCCAAGCUCUGGAUUCAAGUAGUUUUCCAGAAGAAAAUUGGAGGAUUUACUAAAUUGAUGGAGGCCAUUAGUGUCAUUGGAUAUGAUCCCAAAGAUGUUAGUGUUACUACGGUCAAAGGAGCACUUUGUGUUACUUCUUGCGUCGAGGCAAUUCAUGAUGGAUGUGUUGAAGUAGACCAAAUCAAAAAUUUCUUACUAGAGACCACCAGACGCAUAUAAUACAGUCACAGUGAUCAUUGUGUGAGCCCUCAGUUGCAUGUUUGUCUUGCAACCAGUUAAUAUCAAAUUAGAAUGAUCUUCAAAUAUCCCAAGAUGAAGUUCCAAAACAACGCAGGGUUUUAAUUCUGUUUUCUGCUUCCUAUCUGGAAUAUUUUAAGUGCUCAUUGGAGCUUCAGUCCAAAAAUCAUGUAAUUGCUUUUAACCUAAAUGAAAGAUGGAUAAUUGUAACGAUUCGAGUGCUUCCCGAGAUAGUUAUUGAAUUAUGAAACUUUAUAAGCAGAGAACUUUGAAGUAUACAAAAACACAAGAAGAGAUUUGGUUAGGCUAAAUCGAUAAUUGUAUACAUCUGUUUCUCAGUUUCUCUGCCUCAUGCUUGGGAUGAACCUCUCAAUGGAUUGUAGACCUUUAAUGGAUGCCAACAAACUGGUACUGCGAAAAGGUUUCCCAUUUCUCCCUUCUUUUGCCAUUUUCUCACUCCCGCAGAAAAUGUUCUGUAUAAGUGGGAUAAACAUGAAAGGAUCAACCUGAUCCAAAUUAAAUGACGUAUGAUAUUUUCCUUGGUUCUAUUGUGUGUGUAGCUAUGUAGUUAAUUGAUUCCUUUUCUAUCUUGAUGGUGAAAAAAAAAACACUAAUUCUACAUCCUAGAAAGGAUUGCAGGACUUAGAGACUCUGCGACAGACUUGGACGCACAUGAGAUGGUUUCAGCCACAGAGCUGCAGCGCACAUUUAUCUUUGUACUCCACGACCGCAGCAUGAAUUUUAUGGCUGCACAUUUAUCUUUGGUCAAUGCGGUUGCUUAUGGUUUCCCUGAUUUCAUGACCAAGAAGGAGCAAUUGUAUAUGACAGUAGACAUAAACAAGAAAAACUAACCUGCAAGGCAGAAAUUUCUUGCUUAUGAUAGGUUAUUACCAUUUACCAGCUUCCACUUGAUGGUCAUCUCUAAAGAUUGGUUUGAUUAUUUAGGACUGGAGAUUGUGUCAACUGCAUAGAGGACAUGACAUUUGCCCUUUUACCUGCACUUCCUGAGCAUUUUUUGGGGAGAAAGAAAACCACAUAGAGAUGGUGGGGGCUUUGGCAUGGAUCAUGAGCAUUUCUCCAUAUGCUACAGUGUAAAAUUAGAGAUUUAUCAAGUCGAAUGACAUUGAUUUAUUUCAAGGAAUUUAAGAGUUGACAAAACAUCACCAUCUUUGCAAUUCUUGAAGAGAGGGUUGACGAAGUUAAAGCUGGGCAUGCAAAUCCACGAACUCCACAAUCCAAGUAGAGAAUAUGUAAACAUAUAUAUCUCUGCAUCGGCAUAGGAAGAAC